GACGAACGCUGGCGGCGUGCUUAACACAUGCAAGUCGAACGGAAAGGCCCUGCUUUUGUGGGUGCUCGAGUGGCGAACGGGUGAGUAACACGUGAGUAACCUGCCCUUGACGUUGGGAUAACUUCAGGAAACUGGGGCUAAUACCGGAUAGGAGCUCCUGCUGCAUGGUGGGGGUUGGAAAGUGUCGGCGGUUGGGGAUGGACUCGCGGCUUAUCAGCUUGUUGGUGGGGUAGUGGCGUACCAAGGCCUUGACGGGGAGGCGGCCUGAGAGGGUGACCGGCCACAUUGGGACUGAGAUACGGCCCAGACUCCUACGGGAGGCAGCAGUGGGGAAUAUUGCACAAUGGGCGGAAGCCUGAUGCAGCAACGCCGCGUGCGGUAUGACGGCCUUCGGGUUGUAAACCGCUUUCGCCUGUGACGAAGCGUGAGUGACGGUAAUGUGUAAAGAAGCACCGGCUAACUACGUG
Molecule: ribosomal RNA, 467 nt
Filed under: uncultured bacterium
Lineage: Bacteria
Description: partial 16S ribosomal RNA
Rfam family: Bacterial small subunit ribosomal RNA
Source: RNAcentral